GAUGAACGCUGGCGGCGUGCCUAAUACAUGCAAGUAGAACGCUGAAGGAGGAGCUUGCUCUUCUGGAUGAGUUGCGAACGGGUGAGUAACGCGUAGGUAACCUGCCUGGUAGCGGGGGAUAACUAUUGGAAACGAUAGCUAAUACCGCAUGACAACAGUUAUUGCAUGAUAACUGUUUAAAAGGGGCAACUGCUCCACUACCAGAUGGACCUGCGUUGUAUUAGCUAGUUGGUGAGGUAACGGCUCACCAAGGCGACGAUACAUAGCCGACCGGAGAGGGUGAUCGGCCACACUGGGAAUGAGACACGGCCCAGACGCCUACGGGAGGCAGCAGUAGGGAAUCUUCGGCAAUGGACGGAAGUCUGACCGAGCAACGCCGCGUGAGUGAAGAAGGUUUUCGGAUCGUAAAGCUCUGUUGUAAGAGAAGAACGAGUGUGAGAGUGGAAAGUUCACACUGUGACGGUAUCUUACCAGAAAGGGACGGCUAACUACGUG
Molecule: ribosomal RNA, 495 nt
Filed under: uncultured bacterium
Lineage: Bacteria
Description: partial 16S ribosomal RNA
Rfam family: Bacterial small subunit ribosomal RNA
Source: RNAcentral